This 166-nucleotide ribosomal RNA is filed under the name Enterococcus faecium. RNAcentral's name for it is "partial 16S ribosomal RNA". It matches the Rfam family "Bacterial small subunit ribosomal RNA", at positions 76 to 228 of the family's 1533-position model. Lineage: Bacteria; Bacillati; Bacillota; Bacilli; Lactobacillales; Enterococcaceae. The record is from RNAcentral.
GAGCUUGCUCCACCGGAAAAAGAAGAGUGGCGAACGGGUGAGUAACACGUGGGUAACCUGCCCAUCAGAAGGGGAUAACACUUGGAAACAGGUGCUAAUACCGUAUAACAAUCAAAACCGCAUGGUUUUGAUUUGAAAGGCGCUUUCGGGUGUCGCUGAUGGAUGG